CUAUACAUGACUCUGCGCAUAUCAAUAAGCGGAGGAAAAGAAACUAACAAGGAUUCCCCUAGUAACGGCGAGUGAAGCGGGAAGAGCUCAAAUUUGAAAUCUUAAAGGGUUUCCCUUUACGAAUUGUAGUUUAAAGAAGUGUUUUCUGUUGAGGUUUUGGUAAAAGUUCUUUGGAAUAGGACAUCAUAGAGGGUGAGAAUCCCGUAUUUGACCUUUACUUUCAACUUUGUGAUACACUUUCAAAGAGUCGGAUUGUUUGGGAAUGCAGUCCAAAAUGGGUGGUAAAUUUCAUCUAAAGCUAAAUAUUGGCGAGAGACCGAUAGCGAACAAGUACCGUGAGGGAAAGAUGAAAAGAACUUUGAAAAGAGAGUUAAACAGUACGUGAAAUUGUCAAAAGGGAAGCGUUUGACACCAGUGUUGUUUUUCUGAAAAUCAAUUAAAGAACUGUUUAUGCUAAGUUGUUUAGACUUUAUCAGCUAACUGUUUAGUUUUGAGCUUUUCUUUAAUGCACUUUUCAGUUAACAAGUCAACAUCAAUUUCUUUUGCUGUAAAAAAGCUUGAGGAAGGUGGCUUGAGAUUCGUCUUAAGUGUUUAUAGCCUCUUGCCUAUGCAGUCGGAGAGAUUGAGGUCUGCAGCGUAGAUCCUUCGGGGCUAAAUGCAUUUGUGCUAAGUUAUAGCAUUUUGUAGACAACUUGUUGACUAUGAUUUGUCUUGUAGCUUACUCGCUUAUGUUAUUUUACCUACGCUUAGGAUGUUGACAGCAGUAUAGACUGU
Molecule: ribosomal RNA, 774 nt
Filed under: uncultured Neocallimastigales
Lineage: Eukaryota; Fungi; Neocallimastigomycota; Neocallimastigomycetes; Neocallimastigales
Description: partial large subunit ribosomal RNA
Rfam family: Eukaryotic large subunit ribosomal RNA
Source: RNAcentral